UACGUAGGGUGCGAGCGUUAAUCGGAAUCACUGGGCGUAAAGGGUGCGUAGGCGGGUCUUUAAGUCAGGGGUGAAAUCCUGGAGCUCAACUCCAGAACUGCCUUUGAUACUGAAGAUCUUGAGUUCGGGAGAGGUGAGUGGAACUGCGAGUGUAGAGGUGAAAUUCGUAGAUAUUCGCAAGGACACCAGUGGCGAAGGCGGCUCACUGGCCCGAUACUGACGCUGAGGCACGAAAGCGUGGGGAGCAAACAGG
RNAcentral lists this ribosomal RNA (253 nucleotides) under uncultured bacterium. RNAcentral describes it as "partial 16S ribosomal RNA". It matches the Rfam family "Bacterial small subunit ribosomal RNA", at positions 524 to 776 of the family's 1533-position model. The record is from RNAcentral.